This 403-nucleotide ribosomal RNA is filed under the name uncultured bacterium. Its description in RNAcentral is "bacterial SSU rRNA". It matches the Rfam family "Bacterial small subunit ribosomal RNA", at positions 976 to 1380 of the family's 1533-position model. The record is from RNAcentral.
CGGGCUUGAACUGCUGAGGAAGGCGGCAGAGAUGCCAACGCCCUUCGGGGCCUCAGUGGAGGUGCUGCAUGGUUGUCGUCAGCUCGUGCCGUGAGGUGUCGGCUUAAGUGCCAUAACGAGCGCAACCCCUCCCCGUAGUUGCCAUCGGGUGAUGCCGGGCACUCUGCGGGCACUGCCGCCGCAAGGUGGAGGAAGGUGGGGAUGACGUCAAAUCAGCACGGCCCUUACGUCCGGGGCUACACACGUGUUACAAUGGGGGGUACAGAGCGCCGGCGGCCGGCAACGUCCGUCCAAUCGCGAAAGCCCCUCCCAGUUCGGACCGGGGUCUGCAACCCGACCCCGCGAAGCUGGAUUCGCUAGUAAUCGCGCAUCAGCCAUGGCGCGGUGAAUACGUUCCCGGGCC